UGGGGAAUAUUGCACAAUGGGCGCAAGCCUGAUGCAGCCAUGCCGCGUGUAUGAAGAAGGCCUUCGGGUUGUAAAGUACUUUCAGCGGGGAGGAAGGGAGUAAAGUUAAUACCUUUGCUCAUUGACGUUACCCGCAGAAGAAGCACCGGCUAACUCCGUGCCAGCAGCCGCGGUAAUACGGAGGGUGCAAGCGUUAAUCGGAAUUACUGGGCGUAAAGCGCACGCAGGCGGUUUGUUAAGUCAGAUGUGAAAUCCCCGGGCUCAACCUGGGAACUGCGUCUGAUGAUGGCAAGCUUGAGUCUCGUAGAGGGGGGUAGAAUUCCAGGUGUAGCGGUGAAAUGCGUAGAGCUCUGGAGGAAUACCGGUGGCGAAGGCGGCCCCCUAGCCGAAGACUGACGCUCAGGUGCGAAAGAGUGGGGAGCAAACAGG
RNAcentral lists this ribosomal RNA (429 nucleotides) under Chloroflexota bacterium. RNAcentral's name for it is "Chloroflexi bacterium partial 16S ribosomal RNA". It matches the Rfam family "Bacterial small subunit ribosomal RNA", at positions 355 to 776 of the family's 1533-position model. Lineage: Bacteria; Bacillati; Chloroflexota. The record is from RNAcentral.